UACGGAGGGGGCAAGCGUUGUUCGGAAUUACUGGGCGUAAAGGGCGCGCAGGCGGCUGCUCAAGUCAGGCGUGAAAGGCCUGGGCUCAACCCGGGAAUUGCGCUUGGGACUGGGCUGGCUAGAGUCCGGAAGGGGCGAGUGGAAUUCCUGGUGUAGCGGUGAAAUGCGCAGAUAUCAGGAGGAACACCAAUGGCGAAGGCAGCUCGCUGGGACGGUACUGACGCUGAGGCGCGAAAGCGUGGGGAGCAAACAGG
RNAcentral lists this ribosomal RNA (254 nucleotides) under uncultured bacterium. RNAcentral describes it as "partial 16S ribosomal RNA". It matches the Rfam family "Bacterial small subunit ribosomal RNA", at positions 524 to 776 of the family's 1533-position model. The record is from RNAcentral.